UCCUACGGGGCGCAGCAGUGAGGAAUAUUGGUCAAUGGGCGCGAGCCUGAACCAGCCAAGUCGCGUGAGGGAAGACGGUCCUAUGGAUUGUAAACCUCUUUUGUCGGGGAGCAAAAGACGCCACGCGUGGCGUUCCGAGAGUACCCGAAGAAAAAGCAUCGGCUAACUCCGUGCCAGCAGCCGCGGUAAUACGGAGGAUGCGAGCGUUAUCCGGAUUUAUUGGGUUUAAAGGGUGCGCAGGCGGAAGAUCAAGUCAGCGGUAAAAUUGAGAGGCUCAACCUUUUCGAGCCGUUGAAACUGGUUUU
This 305-nucleotide ribosomal RNA is filed under the name uncultured bacterium. Its description in RNAcentral is "bacterial SSU rRNA". It matches the Rfam family "Bacterial small subunit ribosomal RNA", at positions 337 to 640 of the family's 1533-position model. The record is from RNAcentral.